GACCGAUGUGUAACAGUUCUGCCCAACC
Molecule: non-coding RNA, 28 nt
Filed under: Homo sapiens (human)
Lineage: Eukaryota; Metazoa; Chordata; Mammalia; Primates; Hominidae
Source: RNAcentral